AUAAUUAAUAUCUUACUUUAUUUUUUUUUAUAAUUUUAUGAGAAAUAUCUUUAUUUUUAGUAUAUUAAUGAAAAAUAAUUUUUAGUUAUAGUUAAUAAGUACUGUGAUGGAAUUGAUGAAAUAAUUAAAAAUAAAAUUUUUUUUAAGUAUGUUUAAUUUACAGUACCUUUUGUAUCAGGGUUAAUUAAAAUAUAUAAUUUAUUUUAUGUUCUCGAUUUCAAAAGAGCUAAAUUUUUAUUUUGGUUAGUGUUGCAAUAUUAUUAAAAAUAAAUUUUAGUGGAGAAAUUUUAUUCGUUUUUGAGGGUAUCUAGUUUUUUAAGAAUUAAAUUUAAUUUAAUUUUAUUAUUUAACUGUUAUAUUUUUUAUAGGUUAUUUAAUAAAUUAAAAAUUAUAGGGGAUAAGCUCUAUAUUGUACUAAAAAUGAUUUAUUAAUAAAUUUAUGUAGGUUUAAGAAUAUCCAUCAUUAUUAAGUGUGUUAUAAUUUAUUUAUAUUAUUAAUUAAUUUUUGUUUAUUUUAGUAAAUUAUUAAAAUUCUAUAAUCAACUUAUUAUUUUAGGAAAUAAUGAUUAAAUUAGUAUAAUAACAUGUAUAAUUAAUUAUAUUAUUAAUGAUAAAAUAAGGAAUUCGGCAAAUAUAAUUCCCGCCUGUUUAACAAAAACAUGUCCUUUUGAAAUUUAAUAGAAGGUCUGGCCUGCCCAGUGAUGAUUUUAACGGCCGCGGUAUACUGACCGUGCAAAGGUAGCAUAAUCAUUAGUCUUUUAAUAGAGGGCUGGAAUGAAAGGUUUAACGAGGAAUUGACUGUCUCAUUUUAUUUGUUUUAAAAUUUAAUUUUUUAGUUAAAAAGCUGAAAUUUGAUUGGAAGACGAGAAGACCCUAUAGAGCUUUAUAUAUUUUUAUUUUAUUAAUAUUAUAUUAUAAUGGUAUAAUGAAAAUUUAUUUUGUUGGGGUGACAAAAAUAUAAAUAUAACUUUUUUAUUUAUUUAUCAUUGAUUUAUGUGUAUUAGAUCCAUUAUUAUUGAUUUUUAGAUUAAGUUACCUUAGGGAUAACAGCGUAAUCCCCCUCCAGAGUUCAUAUUUACAGGGUGGGCUUGCGACCUCGAUGUUGGAUUAAGAUUAUAAUUAGGUGUAGCUGCUUAAUUUAUGGGUCUGUUCGACCUUUAACC
Molecule: ribosomal RNA, 1163 nt
Filed under: Zygonyx iris
Lineage: Eukaryota; Metazoa; Arthropoda; Insecta; Odonata; Libellulidae
Description: partial 16S ribosomal RNA
Source: RNAcentral